RNAcentral lists this ribosomal RNA (253 nucleotides) under uncultured bacterium. RNAcentral describes it as "partial 16S ribosomal RNA". It matches the Rfam family "Bacterial small subunit ribosomal RNA", at positions 524 to 776 of the family's 1533-position model. The record is from RNAcentral.
UACGUAGGUGGCAAGCGUUGUCCGGAUUUAUUGGGUUUAAAGGGUGCGUAGGCGGCCCGGUAAGUCAGUGGUGAAAGCCUCCAGCUCAACUGGAGAACUGCCAUUGAUACUGUCGGGCUUGAGUACAGACGAGGUUGGCGGAAUUGAUUGUGUAGCGGUGAAAUGCAUAGAUACAAUCAAGAACUCCGAUUGCGUAGGCAGCUAACUAGGCUGUAACUGACGCUGAGGCACGAAAGCGUGGGGAGCGAACAGG